RNAcentral lists this ribosomal RNA (131 nucleotides) under uncultured bacterium. RNAcentral's name for it is "partial 16S ribosomal RNA". It matches the Rfam family "Bacterial small subunit ribosomal RNA", at positions 356 to 504 of the family's 1533-position model. The record is from RNAcentral.
GGGGAAUAUUGCGCAAUGGAGGAAACUCUGACGCAGUGACGCCGCGUAUAGGAAGAAGGUUUUCGGAUUGUAAACUAUUGUCGUGAGGGAAGAAGAUGACAGUACCUCAGGAGGAAGCUCCGGCUAACUAU